This 406-nucleotide ribosomal RNA is filed under the name uncultured bacterium. RNAcentral's name for it is "partial 16S ribosomal RNA". It matches the Rfam family "Bacterial small subunit ribosomal RNA", at positions 29 to 526 of the family's 1533-position model. The record is from RNAcentral.
AUUGAACGCUGGCGGCAGGCCUAACACAUGCAAGUCGAGCGAGCGGCGGACGGGUGAGUAAUGUCUGGGAAACUGCCUGUUGGAGGGGGAUAACUCCUGGAAACGGUAGCUAAUACCGCAUACAAUCCGAUGUGCGCAGAUGGGAUUAGCUGGUAGGUGGGGUAACGGUUAACCUAGGGGACGAUCCCUAGAUGGUCUGAGAGGAGGACCAGGCACACUGGAACUGAGACACGGUCCAGACUCCUACGGGAGGCAGCAGUGGGGAAUAGUGGACAAUGGGCGCAAGCCUGAUGCAGCCAUGCCGCGUGUGUGAAGAAGGCCUUCGGGUUGUAAAGCACUUUCAGCGGGGAGGCGUUACCCGCAGAAGAAGCACCGGCUAACUCCGUGCCAGCAGCCGCGGUAAUUC